UACGUAGGGUGCAAGCGUUGUCCGGAAUUAUUGGGCGUAAAGAGCGUGUAGGCGGCCAAACAGGUCCGUUGUGAAAACUGGAGGCUUAACCUCCAGACGUCGACGGAAACCGUAUGGCUAGAGUCCGGAAGAGGAGAGUGGAAUUCCUGGUGUAGCGGUGAAAUGCGCAGAUAUCAGGAAGAACACCAAUGGCGAAGGCAGCUCUCUGGGACGGUACUGACGCUGAGGAGCGAAAGCAUGGGGAGCGAACAGG
This 253-nucleotide ribosomal RNA is filed under the name uncultured bacterium. RNAcentral describes it as "partial 16S ribosomal RNA". It matches the Rfam family "Bacterial small subunit ribosomal RNA", at positions 524 to 776 of the family's 1533-position model. The record is from RNAcentral.